UAGGGAAUCUUCGGCAAUGGACGAAAGUCUGACCGAGCAACGCCGCGUGAGUGAAGAAGGUUUUCGGAUCGUAAAACUCUGUUGUUAGAGAAGAACAGGGACGUUAGUAACUGAACGUCCCCUGACGGUAUCUAACCAGAAAGCCACGGCUAACUACGUGCCAGCAGCCGCGGUAAUACGUAGGUGGCAAGCGUUGUCCGGAUUUAUUGGGCGUAAAGCGAGCGCAGGCGGUUUCUUAAGUCUGAUGUGAAAGCCCCCGGCUCAACCGGGGAGGGUCAUUGGAAACUGGGAGACUUGAGUGCAGAAGAGGGGAGUGGAAUUCCAUGUGUAGCGGUGAAAUGCGUAGAUAUAUGGAGGAACACCAGUGGCGAAGGCGGCUCUCUGGUCUGUAACUGACGCUGAGGCUCGAAAGCGUGGGGAGCAAACAGG
This 429-nucleotide ribosomal RNA is filed under the name Chloroflexota bacterium. RNAcentral's name for it is "Chloroflexi bacterium partial 16S ribosomal RNA". It matches the Rfam family "Bacterial small subunit ribosomal RNA", at positions 355 to 776 of the family's 1533-position model. Lineage: Bacteria; Bacillati; Chloroflexota. The record is from RNAcentral.